CAUUUUAUAUCUGACGGCUUUAUUUAGGCUUCAAAAUGUAUACAUUUUCGUUUAACUUAUAAAGAUUAUCUUGAUAGACAAAACGUGUAAGGUUCAUAACUCUUUGUUGAACACAGAUCUUAUUUUUUGCGAUUUUCCAAAAGUCUAUGGGAAAAAUGAAUGGCUUUUCGAUCGAGGGAACCCAUGCGCCGCUAACUUCCGGGUUGGCCUACAAAGUGACGUCAUGACUUCGGCACUCUAUAAUGACAAAGAGAGCGUAAAAGAGGAAUUUUACAGACAUAGAAAUUGAGUUACUGGUGGAUGAGGUUAAAUCCUAAUAACACAUCCUGUUUGGUAGUUAGUGCGGGAGGAAUGACUAACAAAAGAAAACAAAUCUACAUGUGAACAUGUUACCAGUGAGUUUAAUUCCGUAGAAUAUGAGGAGAGAACACUCCAAAUUAACAGCAAAAAAAAAAAAAAAAAAGCGUUUCCAGCACAAAUACUCUGAACGAGAGACUUGGGUAAAAAAAGGCAGAGUACCAGUCAGUGGUUAAAGACACACAAAAUGUGGACAUCAAAACAAAUGGCUACAUUUGCUCGUGAGGAAGAUGAUAACGAAGAGGAUGAGACUCCUUCAAACCAUAAGAUAGUGGAUGAUUCACACUCAACUGCAAAGCAAUGAAAGAACACAUCUGUCACUAAAUUGAACCCAGUCACCUUGGAUUAUGCCCAAAAGUGUAUUACAAGAAACUCACCAGAACUGUGAUGGACUCCAUUUCCACCUUAGAAAAAAUGACAACAUGCUCCGUCACAGGGAAAAAAGGGACCACUGGUGAACAAAGACAGAGUCCUGACAGAGAAAGUGAAGCUAGUAAUAGGGAGCCUGCUGGAAGAGAAUCUGAGGACUGAUGCACAUAUAACAAUGGACAUGCAUAAAGACACAUCUCUCUCUCUCUCUCUCUCUCUCUCUCUCUCUCUCUCUCUCUCUCUCUCUCUCUCUCUCUCUCUCUCUCUCUCUCUCUCUCUCUCUCUCUCUCUCUCCCACAUACACACACACUCAGAUAUACAGUUGUUGUUGUAUGGACAGAAUUUUAUUGAUACUUGUUUUUUUAUGAAUAUGUUUGGAUACUUCUUAUAAUUUUCUGUAUGUUUGCAAAUAAAUUCUCCAUUUGAAUCAGUUUUUCCUUACAGUAAAAUGUGUCUUAUGUCAAAGUCACAUCAUGGUGCCUUUAUUUUAUAUCACUGACAUCUUAGCUAGAUUAUAGCUUACCCUUGGGGUCAAAGGGUGAGUUUGAGUCCUGGGUUAUGAUAAGCAAUUGUAUGGCCUACUUUAUAUACUUUAACUCUCAAGUUCACAUGUAAAAACAAAUGAGAAACCCAUGUGAUCACAUGUGCAUAAUGUGAUGACAUUUUUUUGUGCUUCACAUGGAAAUUCACAUGUGAUUCACACAAAGUGUUCAAAAAGCACACAUUUCCCAUGUGCAAAACACAUGUUCUGCAUGUGAUUCUAACAUGUUUUCAUGUGUCACAUGUGAUUUUAACAUGUUUUCACACAAUAAAUUUCACAUGUGAAAUAUGUGCUUUUGGAACAUUUUUGUGUGAAUCCCAUGUGAAACACAUGUGAUCAC
This is a non-coding RNA of Paramisgurnus dabryanus, 1607 nucleotides long. NCBI's taxonomy places the organism in Eukaryota, Metazoa, Chordata, Actinopteri, Cypriniformes, Cobitidae. The record is from RefSeq and is a predicted model, not a curated record.